ACUAUUCACAGUUCAGCCAAUUCAAAACAACAUUCAACCGUCGUAAAUGUAUUUCAGCUUGACGUUAAAGUUCGUUACUCUGCAUUCAAUGCAGUCAAUGGAUGCUAACCACGUUGUGCAGUCCGUGUGGUGUGAAUGAAUCCACCCUUACCGCAUCCACGUUGGCUAAUAUCUCACUAAAGGAAUCAACUUGUGGUCGAAAUAACGAUGGCACCAAACAGUCCUACCGCAACUCUGAUUCGAGCGAUGUGUGUUCUCCUCCGAAAUGCAGAUGAAGCUGGAAGAUGCCACUCGAUAGUGGUUCAACUCUCAUUGGGUAUAGCUCGCCAUCUUGUCUCAUCAAUCGUAAUGUGGCUCGUCAAUCGUAACGUGGCUUCAGAACUCCCAGACUACUCGACAAUUUCUCAGUCCAAAAAACAAUAUCAAAGUACAAAUAAAACACAGUCUAUCUCUAUAGACGUAAGCUACAACAAACGUCAACACAUAGCGAUGUGUGUUGACAGUCUAUUUUCUUGCUGUAUCCUAUUUUAAUAUGUCAUACUUAUUGCUGAAACAACUAUUUAAUUCAACAUUAAUAAUUACAUUAUUUUUUAAUCACGUGGGCUGUCCUUAAAGAUUAAAUGCUAGUUAGCAUGCUAAGGUCAGUAAGUCAAUUCAACGGAAGCUAGCUGUGUUUACAUCUCCUUCUACUUUCCGUUUACUAAUAUUUAAUUAUAUUAAUUCAUGAAUUAAUAUCAGUAAUUUCAGAUACCUUCAUCAGUAACUGGAGGCCACUGUCUGACAUCGUCCAACCAAGUAACUUUAUUCAUUUGGGGUUCUGGUUAUCUUGCUAUUAUUGAUAGCAUCAAUGACUGUUGAAUGGAUAAUGAGUGUAAUGAUUGAGCACGCACACCGCAGCAAUGGCCCCGUCGCUAGAUGGCGACAUACACAAAUCGCUCACCGAAUCGGUGUAUAGCGUCUUACUUCUUGAAAAGUUUUCUUCUUCUGAUGUUUCACGCGUGAACAAACGUUACAGCCAAUCUGAUUGGCUGAAACAACUGUACUUUCUUAAAGUGACAGGAUAUCUAUUUUAACUUAGAAGCUUACAGAAUGAAUUAACAUGAAUGAAUCAUUACUUGUAAUCCUAUUUAUCAAACUAAAUCAUGGGCUUUUAUUUAAAAUGAUGAAAUUAUGUUUGAUAAUUAUUCUUAUUUAUUAACCAGUUGAUUGAGCAGCAGGGUUCUGAAUCAGCUGCAGCUUUCUAAUGGAUUUCUUGAAGACACCAUUACAGUAAUCCAGUAUACUGAGGAUAAAAGCAUGGACAAGUUUUUCCAGAUCCUGCUGUGACAGUAGUCCUUUAAUCCUAGAUUCAUUCUUAAGGUGAUAGCAGGCCGCCUUAGUGAUUGUUGUAAUUUGACUGUUGAAGUUCAGGUCUGAGUCCAGGACUACACCUAGAUUUCUUGCUUUAUUUCUUGUAUUGAGCAUUGCCAACUGAAUCUCUGCGCUAACUGGUUAUGCAACCAGUGAUUUAUGAAAAGGAAGCAGCACCAAAAGAAAAAUCCUGUGACUGUCCUCAAGGCCCUAAAAGGGAUGCAUAGUUUCACCUUAGAACCUAAAAUGUUGGGUCACAUUGUGUGGUGCCAUGGAGAAUAUUCAGGUGUUUGGGGAGUAUAGACAGGGAUGUUUUCAGGACUGCUACUGUAAGAAAUAAUAAAUAUAUUGAAACGGAACAUUAAAACAUAAUUCACUGUUUCUGGACGGACCAUAUUUGUCCAAUUCCGGUAGUAUUACCGGAUGUUGUUUUUAGCCUCAGAUAGCAUAUAGGCUAGCUAACAUUGUAUUGUAUAUAUGAGUAGAGGGAGAAGGACGCGUGGAGUUACAUACUAAACACACCGCCUCUACCUCUCACUCAUUGAUGCUGCAAUGAUACUAUUGCGUGUUUAAUAACUGAUAAACCUCAGAAGAAUUGCAUAAUAGAAUAUCGUAGGUGAGAGCUUCAGGACAUCACUAACAAGAUGGCGACAGUGAGGUCAUAGGAAGACCCGCCCCCAACGACGUCAGCCAAUAGAAGAGUCUGGAGAACCCCAUGUGACAACAAGCGGCCAACAGGAUCCAGCCCCCGCUACCAACCAAUGAGAGCACGAGACCGGAGCACGUCUUAUUUUGAAGUUGUUUAUUGUAUGGCCGGAAAGGGAUGGUUCUAUAAAACAUGUUUGUAUUUUGAAAUCGAUCUCUCUUUUGUUCUGGACCGCCAGACAGUAACUACUGAUGAGCUCCACUCAUUCAGCGGCCUGUGGACGUGUGUACCGGGCUAUUGAGCCACAACAGUGAAACUUUUGUAAAACCUACUGCUCCAUCCUUUUGUUAAAUACUCCUUUUAAAACUUAUGUGAGGAGCUUCACUUCCUUUUUUUUUAAAUCGACUCCUGGACUUCGAAAAUAAAAGAACAUUUCUUACACAAGCAAGGGUAUACAUUAAACAGUUACCAUCAGUUCAAGAGUUAAACCAUAUUUCAGUCGGGGACGCUACAUAUACCUUCCUCACACUACAGGGCCUACCAAAGCAGGGUUACUCCAACAGCUGUGGGGUGUUUGUAUUGAUGGUAAGAUAAUGGUUUUUCACUAGUCCUGUUGGGGAUACUGGGGGGGCACGUCUUCUCUAUUAAAAAAUAUAAUCCUUUGGGGGGUUGCUGUUUUUAUUAUUGUUAUCACUAUUACUAUUAUAAACCACUCACUUCUCUGAAUUUACAGUAGGCACUGUAGGCUACAUUGUAUUGGAUGGCAAUGUGAUUUCGCUGAGGUAUGUAUAAAUAUGUAAAUAUAUUAUCACUAGUGGAUGCAAGUUUUUUUUGGCGUACAUGUUAACCCUGUAUGACUAUAUUUGUCAGAGAUAAAACAUGCUGCAGAUAAGGCGAUGGUGGUGUCUCAUUCUUCUUAAGAACUUUCCCAUGCCGUGUGCAGAAGAGACUUUGCGAAAAAGAAAGAGGCUACGUGAACAAAAACCCUACAGACAAUACUGAACGCCAAUCGCAGAGCGAACCUGGGAACUUGCUGACCAAUCAGCACCCAGGACCAGCCAUAAAGGAGACAACCAGGAAGCCUUCUCAGGGUCUCACUGCUGGGCCUGCUGCUGACUGGAGAGCCUCAAUUUGACUGCGUGUUAAAGCAUUGUGACAAUUGUGUAUCCUGUGCUAUAUGUUGUGACUGUGUGUGUGUGUGGUGGGAGGUGGAGGAGUUAGGUAAGUUUGGGGUACCCUUUACAUCUCAUCACGUAGAUAACAUAUGUUAGACACACUAGGUUAGCGGAUUGUUGCCACCCCUGUAUUUUGCUUUGUCCACUUAUUAGUAGUUCAGGAAGUGAGGGUUUUUGGUUGAGUUUGUUUCAGAAGAUGUAGGGAUAGGCCUGGUUUUUGUUAUAUUUAUUUCUUUUAUUUGGCACAAUCUCCCUUGUCUCCUCCUCCUCCUCACCUGAAGAACAUGUGUUGUUCAUUCUUUAGUGAUUAGAAAUAAACAUUGUCUUUCUGCAUUUAAUCUGACUUGCUCAUUAAUUGGUUGUCGUGUGUUACUGUCUCCAGGUCCCCUAGACUUUAGUGGGGACGUAACACAAAUGGGGGCUCGUCUGGGAUACUUUUUCCUGAGCUAAAGACAACCACUAUUGGGAAGUCACUGUAGUUGUGACAGUUUGGCUGAGAAAAUGGGUUUUGAAUUAAAGGGAUUUCAUCAAAAAUCCAAGUUGUGAUAAGUUGGAUUCAUGUCGCAAAGAUGACUUGUUAUGUAUUGCAGCUCACUAUAACAUUUCAGUAGACAGGUAUUGUUUAAAAAAAGAGCUAAACGAGAUAGUUCUGCAAAAACUUGAGGAGUUAAAAAUACUUGUAAGCCCAGUCUUGUCAACUCAGCCUAGGUCUGAUGUGUUUGUUGAUGAUAGUGAAACCAUUGUUGGCGCUUCGUUUUUAGAACAGAAGGGUCAGGCUAUCUUAACUACACCUUGAGUGGACAAGGUUAAUCUUGAGGCUCUUCCAGCAACGCUUCGUAGGUUUGAGGCUUUCUCUCCGGGUAGCUUAGGUUCAAGUAGUGAUGCCAGACUGAAGGUUCGUCUUGCCCGUCUUCAGCUGGAGGUCCAGGAGAAGGAAAUGGCACGUAGAGCAGACUAUGAACACAAACUGCAGAUUCGCAAGUUAGAGAUAGAAGCUGAGAAGGAGAUCACGUUGAAGCGGCUUGAAAUCGAAGCCCUGAGAAUCUCUUCAGAGAAGACCUUGUCACAGACACUUGAGAGGUCAAUACCUUCGCUCACAGACCCUCAUACUAAAUGUUUUGACGUUAGCAAACAUAUUGCUUUGGUACCAAUUUUUAGAGAGUCAGAGGUUGACUCAUAUUUUUGUGCUUUUGAGAGAAUUGCAACUGCACUAAUUUGGCCUAAAGACAUGUGGCCAAUCCUACUUCAGUGCAAAUUAGUCAGUAAAGCUCAGGAAGUGGUAUCGUCACUCUCUUUGGAAGAAAGCUUGCAGUACGAGGUGCUUAAAGAGUCGAUCUUGCGUGCUUAUGAGCUUGUACCUGAGGCCUACAGGCAAAAAUUCAGAAACCGCAAAAAAUCUGCUACGCAGACAUUUGUUGAGUUUGCGCGAGAAAAGGGUGUUCUCUUUGAUAAAUGGUGUGCAGCAAGUGAAGUGAAGGAUCGUUUUGAGUCUCUUCGUCAAUUGCUUCUCUUAGAAGAUUUUAAGAACCCUUUGCCCGAAAGGUUGGUAAUAUUCCUAAAUGAGCAGAAGGUCACUUCACUGUCUAGGGCAGCGGUCUUGGCGGAAGAAUUUGUACUCACUCACAAAAGUGUGUUUUCUUCUUCCUUACGCCCAGACAAGGCUGCAGUGUCUCAAACUGGGAGACCUGAUCUUGGCCCCACUCCUUUUGAAAAAUCUAGAGGACCACCAUCACCUCCUCGGGGGCCUCGUGAGUGUUACUACUGCCAUAAAACAGGUCACCUUAUUUCAGAGUGUCUUACCUUGAAGCGCAAACAGCAACCUUCACUACGUUUACAAACGCCAAAAGGCAUGGGGCUCAUUAAAGAAGUGUCACUAUCGGACAUUGAAAGAUCACAGGAGGAUGAUGUACCUGAUCCCUGUUUCAAACCAUUUAUUUCAAAGGGCUUUGUUUCUUUAACAGGGGAUCCUGGAGACCAGCUGCCAGUGCAGGUACUUGGGGACACAGGAGGUUCUCAGUCUAUCAUCAGAGAAGGCAUCAUGUUGUUCAAGUGCUGUUGUUCAAGGUGUAGGCAUGACACUAGUUGCGGCCCCUUUGCACAAUGUUUAUAUUUCCACAACUCUUGUAAAAGGGUUCUUUAAAGUAGCCGUUCUCCCUGCCUUGCCCAUCAAAGGGGUGGAUUUCAUUCUUAGUAAUGACUUGGCAGGGGGCAAAGUUAGGCCAGUACCGGAGGUCACUCAUUCUCCUGAUUUAAGUUUAGACGCAGGUAAAAUAGCUGAAGUACUUCCUGAGAUCUUUCCUGCGUGUGUGGUUACAAGGGCCCAGUCAAAAAAAUAUGGAGAUGACUUGUCUAACUCUUUUCUUGCUACAGGGCAGUUUCCUCAUGUCAUGACUGAGUCGGACAAGCUGCCAGAGGAGGCCCGGUCUGCUGGUGCUGGAUCAUCCCGUAACUGCACAGAACUUGUAUAACUGCCUGCCUCUAGGGAAGAAUUCUUGGCAGCCCAGCUAAGUGAUAAAACACUUUCCAAAUGUCUCUCUUCUGUUACCAGUGAGGAAGACGCCAAGUCAAAGAAGAGGGCCUACAUUAUCGAGGAUGGCCUAUUAAUGCGUCGCUGGGUUGGUGAGGCCUGUGAAGAGUCAGACUCCUGUGCAGGCAUAUCUGGAUGACAUUGUGGUCUAUUCUAAUGAAUGGCCUAGCCACAUGAGUACCUUAAGUGACGUAUUUAAAUGCUUGUAGGCUGCAUCCCUAACACUAAACCUUGCCAAAUGUGAGUUUGGAAAAGGUACCGUCCUCUACCUUGGUCAACAGUUUGGCCAAGGGCAGGUGUGCCCUGCUGAUGCAAAGAUCAGGGCAAUUGCCUCCCUGCCGGUGCCAUCCACCAGGAGGGAACUUCGCCACUUCCUGGGAAUGGCAGGGUACUAUCGCCGUUUUUGCAGAAACUUCUCCUCGGUGGCAGCCCCACUGACUACGUUGACCAGUCCCUCCAAACCUUUUGUAUGGUCUGGGAAGUGCCAACACUCAUUUGAAAGCCUUAAGGGUAUUCUGUGUUGCUCUCCUGUUCUUUCUGCACCUGACUUUUCGAUACCCUUCAAGCUUGAGGUCGAUGCCAGUGGAGUUGGAGCAGGGGCCGUUCUUCUGCAACCAGAUGCACUGGGCAUCGAUCAUCCCGUGAGUUACUUCUCCCGGAAGUUUAACAAACAUCAAGUUAAGUACUCCACCAUUGAGAAGGAAGCUUUAGCCCUAUUGUUUGCCUUGCAGCACUUUGAGGUCUAUGUUGGCUCCAGUGUCAAACCUAUUCAGGUAUAUACUGACCAUAAUCCCCUGGUUUUUCUUGCAAGAAUGUAAUCACAAUCAACGCCUUAUGCGUUGGUCAUUGAUUGUUGGGAACUACAACCUUGAAAUAAGCCAUAAAAAGGGAGCCGAUAAUAUUCUGGCUGAUGCACUCUCGUGCUAUGUAAAGGUUAUUGUCAGGUCCAAACAUACUGUUUGGAUUUAUAUGUGUAGGGGUGUUACGUGCCGGGCAGGCUGUACUUUUGUUUCUUGCCUCCUGCUCUUUUCUCUACUCCCUGUCAUUCGCUACAGCUAAUCAGCAGCUGAUCAGUACCUGCCUGGGCAUCUCUGAUUGAUGACUGAUUACCUCCUCUCAACCUCAGCUGACCAAUCAGCACCCAGGACCAGCCAUAAAGGAGACAACCAGGAAGCCUUCUCGGGGUCUCACUGCUGGGCCUGCUGCUGACUGGAGAGCCUCAAUUUGACUGCGUGUUAAAGCAUUGUGACAAUUGUGUAUCCUGUGCUAUAUGUUGUGACUGUGUGUGUGGUGGGAGGUGGAGGAGUUAGGUCCCCUAGACUUUAGUGGGGACGUAACAGUGCCAAACCCAAUCGUUUAACAGCAGAGUUUCCCUCCCGGCGGUGAUUGGGAUGGACGGAGAAGACCAGAAGAGAGCCUUAAGAGAGCUGAGAUCGGAUGACGGCACGGAUGAGGAAGAAACCCAUCUCGUGAUGGAAGCGUUCCUUUUUUAUUUCAAAUUCCAAUGAGAUUAUGAACAUUUCUGUGGGGAGUUACUUGACAAGAGGAACUUAAAAUGAUUUGCCUCUUUUGAGGAGUGCCAGUGAGGCUAUUUGCGUGCUGUGUGUGUGUGUGUGUUCAUUAUUGUCUUGUUAAGAUUAGUUUGCUGUGACUUAU
This is a long non-coding RNA of Eleginops maclovinus (Patagonian blennie), 7354 nucleotides long. RefSeq lists it as uncharacterized. NCBI's taxonomy places the organism in Eukaryota, Metazoa, Chordata, Actinopteri, Perciformes, Eleginopidae. The transcript has 5 exons. The record is from RefSeq and is a predicted model, not a curated record.